CCCCGCCCACCUUACCCCGGCGGGCGCCGACAGGCCCGACGUGAGGGGGCGGGGCAGCCGUCACCACAGCCGUCCCCGCCCUCCUCCGGGCUGCCAAUCACAAGAACUCACCUGGACGAGCUCGGGCCUUUCCGGGUUGGCCCAAAGCCGGGCCUGUCACCUCACUGCAGAGCAUGAGCCGGAGGCCCAGGGCUUCCUCUAUGGAUUCCUCAUCUGCCUCCUCAGCCCCGCUCCUCGCGAGACCCCACGGACGUGGGUGGGGAUUGUUCCGCUCAUUGAUUUAUGAGGAACUUUGAGAAGACCCAGGAUUUGAAUUUCAGCGACUGAGGUGGCGGUUGGAGCUCAGGUGGCAGGCAAGGCUGGGAGGCCCAACGCAUGGGGGCAGGGCAGCUGUCACCACAGCCCUCCCCACCCUCCUCCAGGCUGCCAAUCACAAGAACUCACCUGGACAAGCUCCGGCCUUUCCAGGUUGGCCCCAAGUGGAGCCUGUCACCUACUGCAGAGUUGAUGAUGCCAAGUGGCCCAGACAUUCUUGAGCAAAUGACUUCUCUCUGAGCCCAUUUUCUCACCUAUAAAUUGGAAAUCCUGAAAAAAUACAUCCUUCGAAGAGUUGUUCUGAGACUUUACUGUAACAGUAUGCACUAAGCACCUGGCACAUGGAGAAGUCCAGUAAAUAAUGGCCAGAAGCCAGGCACAGUGGCUGAUGCCUGUAAUCCCAGCACUUUGGGAGGCUGAGCUGGACAGUAAAUAGUUGCCAGGAGUGGUGGCAAGAACAGCUGGCUGCUUCAUCCUCAAGUGAGUGCCCUUUAUGGUACCAGCUCCAGGCCUCACACAUCCACACAAGUCUUCUGUUAGGUUCUGUUCAAAGGUGAGGAGGCUGCAUUCCUUCAUGGGUCAACCAUUUAUACAUCACAGUAUACUUUUUUUUUUUUUUGAGACAGUCUCGCUCUGUCACCCAGGCUGGAGGGCAGUGGUGCAAUUUCGGCUCACUGCAACCUCUGCCUCCCAGGAUCAAGUGAUUAUCUUGCUUCA
Molecule: long non-coding RNA, 1032 nt
Organism: Sapajus apella (tufted capuchin)
Lineage: Eukaryota; Metazoa; Chordata; Mammalia; Primates; Cebidae
Exons: 3
Source: RefSeq, a predicted model, not a curated record